CAUCAGAUGACUGAAAGCAAGUAAUGGUCUCUUAAACCAGUUUAUGAUUCCCUAGCAAGUAUCUCUGAUGA
This 71-nucleotide transfer RNA is filed under the name Anoplotermes sp. G17-067. RNAcentral describes it as "tRNA-Lys". Lineage: Eukaryota; Metazoa; Arthropoda; Insecta; Blattodea; Termitidae. The record is from RNAcentral.